UGCAGCUUCCCUCCUGAGCCUGAUCC
RNAcentral lists this non-coding RNA (26 nucleotides) under Homo sapiens (human). Lineage: Eukaryota; Metazoa; Chordata; Mammalia; Primates; Hominidae. The record is from RNAcentral.